AGUGAACGCUGGCGGUAGGCCUAACACAUGCAAGUCGAACGGCAGCACAGAAAGAGCUUGCUCUUACGGGUGGCGAGUGGCGGACGGGUGAGGAAUACAUCGGAAUCUACUUUUUCGUGGGGGAUAACGUAGGGAAACUUACGCUAAUACCGCAUACGACCUACGGGUGAAAGCAGGGGAUCUUCGGACCUUGCGCGAUUGAAUGAGCCGAUGUCGGAUUAGCUAGUUGGCGGGGUAAAGGCCCACCAAGGCGACGAUCCGUAGCUGGUCUGAGAGGAUGAUCAGCCACACUGGAACUGAGACACGGUCCAGACUCCUACGGGAGGCAGCAGUGGGGAAUAUUGGACAAUGGGCGCAAGCCUGAUCCAGCCAUACCGCGUGGGCGAAGAAGGCCUUCGGGUUGUAAAGCCCUUUUGUUGGGAAAGAAAAGCAGCAGGUUAAUACCCCGCUGUUCUGACGGUACCCAAAGAAUAAGCACCGGCUAACUUCGUG
RNAcentral lists this ribosomal RNA (492 nucleotides) under uncultured bacterium. RNAcentral's name for it is "partial 16S ribosomal RNA". It matches the Rfam family "Bacterial small subunit ribosomal RNA", at positions 29 to 507 of the family's 1533-position model. The record is from RNAcentral.